Molecule: ribosomal RNA, 232 nt
Filed under: uncultured bacterium
Lineage: Bacteria
Description: partial 16S ribosomal RNA
Rfam family: Bacterial small subunit ribosomal RNA
Source: RNAcentral
GAUCCUGGCUCAGGAUGAACGCUGGCUACAGGCUUAACACAUGCAAGUCGAGGGGAAACGACAUCGAAAGCUUGCUUUUGAUGGGCGUCGACCGGCGCACGGGUGAGUAACGCGUAUCCAACCUGCCCAUCACUUGGGAAUAAUCUUGCGAAAGUAAGACUAAUGCCCAAUGAUAUCCCACGAAGGCAUCCGAAUGGGAUUAAAGAUUUAUCGGUGAUGGAUGGGGAUGCGU